UCCUUCCGAAUCUUUUUGUAGGCUUCUGUCCUGGAUCCGGAGCCCAAGUGUCUGUGCUAUGCAGAAUCUGAAAACAAACCACAGGGAGAACGCUGAGAACCUUGAGAGCCAGGAAAUGGAACUGUUAACAUUUAUGGAUAUAGCCAUUGAUUUUACUGAAGAGGAGUGGGAAUGCCUUCAGCCUGCUCAGAAAAAUGUAUAUAGAGAUGUGAUGCUAGAGAAUUAUAGAAAUUUUGCCUUCCUGGCCAUGACUCCUAAUUAUACCCAAGUAUAUUCACCAGAAAAGGGCCUAAAACAUAUAUUUCAUGAAGUGAUAAGUGCAAAAUAUAGAAGUUGUGAUCUUGAAUAUUUACCAAAAAAGAAAAUAGGGAAAACUCCAAGUGAGAGUGAACACCAGAAAUCAUAUAAAAAAUUAGGCCUUGUUCUCCACCAGAGAAUUUAUACUGGAGAGAAUCCCUACAAAUGUAAAGAAUGUGGCAAAGCUUUUAGUAAAAACAAAAAAGGUCUUAUUUACCACAGAGGAAACCACUAUGGAGAAAAGCCCUACAAAUGUAAAGUAUGUGCCAAAGCUUUUGGUCAAAAAUCACACCUUAUUUGCCACAGGAAAACUCACACUGGAGAGAAGCCCCACAAAUGUACAGAAUGUGGCAAAGCUUUCCAUCAGAAAUCAGACCUUAUUUGCCACAGGAGAACUCACACUGGAAAGAAGCCC
Molecule: long non-coding RNA, 712 nt
Filed under: Marmota monax (woodchuck)
Lineage: Eukaryota; Metazoa; Chordata; Mammalia; Rodentia; Sciuridae
Source: RNAcentral